GACAUGCAAGUUUCUUUUCUUCUUCGGAAGUGAAGGAGCGGACUGCUCAGUAACACGUCGGUAACCUGCCCUUAAGCCUAAGAUAGCCUCUGGGAAACUGAGGGUAAUAUUUGAUAGGAGAAAUACCCUGGAAUGAUUUUUCUCCGAAUUAAGGAUGGGCCGGCGGCGGAUUAGGUUGUUGGCGGGGUAAUAGCCCACCAAGCCGAUGAUCCGUAAGGGCUCUUAGCGGAGGGGCCCUGAGAGGGAAUCUGAGACACAAUUCCCAGCCCCACGGGGUGCAGCAGUUAGGCAUAAUCUACAAUGCGCGCAAGCGUGAUAGUUUGAGCCAGAGUGCUUCUCAACUGAGAAGCUUUUGUGGAAUGUAAAAAGUUUUACGAAUAAGGACUGGGUAAGACUAGUGCCAGCCGCCGCGGUAAUACUAGCGGUCCAAGUCGCAGCCAUCUUUAUUGGGUCUAAAACAUCCGUAGCUUGCUUUAUAAGUCUCUUGUGAAAUCUUAUGUCUUAAGCAUAGGGCGCGCAAGAGGUACUGUAGAGCUAGAGACUGGGAGACGUGAGAAGUACGUUCAGAGUAGCGGUAAAAUGUUUUAAUCCUGAGCGGACUCACAAUAGCGAAGGCAUCUCACGAGAACAGUUCUGACAGUAAGGGAUGAAGGCUAGGGGCGCAAAACGGAUUAGAUACCCGUGUAGUCCUAGCAGUAAACACUGCACACUAAACAUCGGGAUCUCCUCGAGAGAUUUCGGUGCUGCAGGGAAGCCGAAGAGUGUGCUACCUGGGAAGUAUAGUCGCAAGGCCGAAACUUAAAGGAAUUGGCGGGGAGGCACUACAACGGGUGACGCGUGCGGUUCAAUUAGAUUAUACACCGUGAACCUCACCAGGAGCGACAGCAGAAUGAAGGUCAGUCUGAAGGGCUUACCUGACACCCUGAGAGGAGUUGCAUGGCCGACGUCAGCCUGUGUUGUGAAAUGACCUGUUAAAUCAGGUAACAGGCAAGACCCCCAUGUAUAUUUACAAUUUGCUAUAUACAGAUUGCCUUGGUAACAAGGAUGAAAGUUGGGGCUACGUUAGGUGAGUACAGCCCUAAUCCCCUGGGCAACACGCGCGCGUCAAUGGUGGAUACAACGGGAUGCGACUCCGAAAGGAGAAGCUAAUCUCUUAAAGUCCAUCUCAGUCCAGAUCGAGGUUUGUAACUCAGCCUCGUGACGCUGGAAUCCGUAGUAAUCGUUUGUUAGCAGCGAGCG
Molecule: ribosomal RNA, 1239 nt
Filed under: metagenome
Description: bacterial SSU rRNA
Rfam family: Archaeal small subunit ribosomal RNA
Source: RNAcentral